GGCCGUGUGCCCGAGUGGCUCCAGGGGACCGACUGCAAAUCGGUUUACGCGGGUUCGAUUCCCGCCAUGGCCUCCA
Molecule: transfer RNA, 76 nt
Filed under: Kitasatospora sp. MAP12-15
Lineage: Bacteria; Bacillati; Actinomycetota; Actinomycetes; Kitasatosporales; Streptomycetaceae
Also listed under: 3 other names
Description: tRNA-Cys
Rfam family: tRNA
About the family: Transfer RNA (tRNA) molecules are approximately 80 nucleotides in length.
Source: RNAcentral